UGAGUAGGCGGUUUAUUAAGUCUAGUGUAAAAUCUUAAAGCUUAACUUUAAAUGGUCAUUGGAAACUGGUAAACUUGAGUACAGUAGAGGAAAGUGGAAUUCCAAGUGGAGCGGUGGAAUGCGUAGAGAUUUGGAGGAACACCAGUGGCGAAGGCGGCUUUCUGGGCUGGUACUGACGCUGAGGCACGAAAGCGUGGGGAGCAAACAGGA
RNAcentral lists this ribosomal RNA (210 nucleotides) under uncultured Bacilli bacterium. RNAcentral's name for it is "partial 16S ribosomal RNA". It matches the Rfam family "Bacterial small subunit ribosomal RNA", at positions 568 to 777 of the family's 1533-position model. The record is from RNAcentral. Lineage: Bacteria; Bacillati; Bacillota; Bacilli.